This 423-nucleotide ribosomal RNA is filed under the name uncultured bacterium. RNAcentral's name for it is "bacterial SSU rRNA". It matches the Rfam family "Bacterial small subunit ribosomal RNA", at positions 207 to 622 of the family's 1533-position model. The record is from RNAcentral.
AAGACCUUGCACUUUUGGAGCGGCCGAUGUCUGAUUAGCUAGUUGGUGGGGUAAUGGCCUACCAAAGCUUCGAUCAGUAGCUGGUCUGAGAGGACGGCCAGCCACACUGGGACUGAGACACGGCCCAGACUCCUACGGGAGGCAGCAGUGGGGAAUUUUGGACAAUGGGCGCAAGCCUGAUCCAGCCAUGCCGCGUGAGUGAAGAAGGCCUUCGGGUUGUAAAGCUCUUUCAGCCGGGAAGAAAAGGUUGCGACUAAUAAUCGCAAUUCAUGACGGUACCGAAAGAAGAAYCACCGGCUAACUACGUGCCAGCAGCCGCGGUAAUACGUAGGGUGCGAGCGUUAAUCGGAAUUACUGGGCGUAAAGGGUGCGCAGGCGGUUUUGUAAGUCAGAUGUGAAAUCCCCGGGCUUAACCUGGGAACU